Molecule: ribosomal RNA, 113 nt
Filed under: Staphylococcus haemolyticus
Lineage: Bacteria; Bacillati; Bacillota; Bacilli; Caryophanales; Staphylococcaceae
Source: RNAcentral
UCUGGUGACAAUGGCAAGGAGGUCACACCUGUUCCCAUGCCGAACACAGAAGUUAAGCUCACCUCGUUAAUUUAGUUUAGUGAUGUUUAUUAAAUUAUACGAAAGUGCUUUAU